UGAAACUCCACAAGGGUAUCCCACAAAUAAAGUGGAAUACCUAGCCAAUAACCUUUUCCUGGGAUAUGUGAACCUUUACGAAACUCAAAAAAAAGAAACAUGUCAGAACACCAAAUCAGGGUGCAAUCGAAGAUUACACCGGAGAAAUAUCACAACAAUAAAUAGGAUAGGAUGAAUAAUGCAUGGCUAUGAUAAAACAUAAAAAAAAAACAGAAUAGAAAAAUCAGCUAC
Molecule: long non-coding RNA, 231 nt
Filed under: Lathyrus oleraceus (garden pea)
Lineage: Eukaryota; Viridiplantae; Streptophyta; Magnoliopsida; Fabales; Fabaceae
Description: Pisum sativum (pea) long non-coding RNA (PSAT_LNC023881)
Source: RNAcentral